AUUCUUAUAGUUUAUAUUAAAAUAUUACACUGAAAAUGUAAAGAAAUAUUUUUUUAAGAAUA
Molecule: transfer RNA, 62 nt
Filed under: Ixodes ricinus (castor bean tick)
Lineage: Eukaryota; Metazoa; Arthropoda; Arachnida; Ixodida; Ixodidae
Description: tRNA-Phe
Source: RNAcentral